Molecule: ribosomal RNA, 844 nt
Filed under: uncultured Micrococcaceae bacterium
Lineage: Bacteria; Bacillati; Actinomycetota; Actinomycetes; Micrococcales; Micrococcaceae
Description: bacterial SSU rRNA
Rfam family: Bacterial small subunit ribosomal RNA
Source: RNAcentral
CAGGACGAACGCUGGCGGCGUGCUUAACACAUGCAAGUCGAACGAUGAAGCCUAGCUUGCUAGGUGGAUUAGUGGCGAACGGGUGAGUAAUACGUGAGUAACCUACCUUUAACUCUGGGAUAAGCCUGGGAAACUGGGUCUAAUACCGGAUACGACCAAUCUCCGCAUGGGGUGUUGGUGGAAAGCGUUAUGUAGUGGUUAUAGAUGGGCUCACGGCCUAUCAGCUUGUUGGUGAGGUAACGGCUCACCAAGGCGACGACGGGUAGCCGGCCUGAGAGGGUGACCGGCCACACUGGGACUGAGACACGGCCCAGACUCCUACGGGAGGCAGCAGUGGGGAAUAUUGCACAAUGGGCGCAAGCCUGAUGCAGCGACGCCGCGUGAGGGAUGACGGCCUUCGGGUUGUAAACCUCUGUUAGCAGGGAAGAAGAGAGAUUGACGGUACCUGCAGAGAAAGCGCCGGCUAACUACGUGCCAGCAGCCGCGGUAAUACGUAGGGCGCGAGCGUUGUCCGGAAUUAUUGGGCGUAAAGAGCUUGUAGGCGGUUUGUCGCGUCUGCUGUGAAAGGCCGGAGCUUAACUCCGUGUAUUGCAGUGGGUACGGGCAGACUAGAGUGCAGUAGGGGAGACUGGAAUUCCUGGUGUAGCGGUGGAAUGCGCAGAUAUCAGGAGGAACACCGAUGGCGAAGGCAGGUCUCUGGGCUGUAACUGACGCUGAGAAGCGAAAGCAUGGGGAGCGAACAGGAUUAGAUACCCUGGUAGUCCAUGCCGUAAACGUUGGGCACUAGGUGUGGGGAACAUUCCACGUUUUCCGCGCCGUAGCUAACGCAUUAAGUGCCCCGCCU